This is a long non-coding RNA of Spea bombifrons (plains spadefoot toad), 749 nucleotides long. RefSeq lists it as uncharacterized. The transcript is spliced from 2 exons. The record is from RefSeq and is a predicted model, not a curated record. Lineage: Eukaryota; Metazoa; Chordata; Amphibia; Anura; Pelobatidae.
CUGAAUUUGUCACUCCAGGGACAAUUUUGGUUGGGUUGUAGGAGCCAGCCAAAGAAUGUAGGAGCCAUUUUUGUUCCAACACGCAUACCAACAUACUUAACACACACAUUAACACAAACAGACAUACUAACACAUAGUAACACAGUAAGACACACACACUUUUUGUAACCUCUACGUUAGUUGGCUCAGGACAGCUUAAUGGUGGUCCUCACACGCCUAUUGUGUUUGAGUGGUGGGAAAUUACAUCAUAUCCCCGCGCUCAGACUCAGGGAGCUAGGACUAAUGGAGCGUGGCCCACCAGCCCAGUGGUGUAUCAGACUCAGGGGUGGGGUGAGAGGGCUGGCGGUGCUGCCCCGGGGGCCCCCACUUGAUAGGAAUUACAAGGCGCACCUUAGCUUUGUACUUUUAUAGUGUUAACCCACUGCUCCUUUGGAAAACGCUAUGCACCAGGAAGUAAUUUCCUGUUGCCAUGGAGACCUGGCACAAAGGCUUUGUUGAGCCCUCAAAAAGAAAAAAACACUGCUUUUGAGUAACAGAGUUCAUUAAGAACUGAUUAACUAGUGCUAAUAAAGCAAUACAGAUAGCAAAAAGAAAGACUUAUCUAUAGAAUGAUAGCAUGGCGCUGGACAUUAUCUCAAGCCUUAACAUUGCUUGUCUAAGUUAACACGAGUGCUAAGGGUUAUAACUCUAAUCUGUUAGCUCAAGUUAUCCAGAGAUGGAUAUAAUUGAUAUUUUAUAAGAAACACAAA